Python bivittatus (Burmese python) is the source of this 756-nucleotide long non-coding RNA. RefSeq lists it as uncharacterized. The record is from RefSeq and is a predicted model, not a curated record. Lineage: Eukaryota; Metazoa; Chordata; Lepidosauria; Squamata; Pythonidae.
GCCUUUGGGUCAGGCGGGCUAGGAACGGUGGACUCAUCCAACCCAGGUUGGGGCGAGCUUUGUCCAGCGCAUUCGCCACCGCAAGAAGAACAGAGCGCACCUUUGCAUCAUUUCCCCGGACAACCGUCCUGAUCAAAAGAGCUGUUCCCCACCUCCCGCAACUCUGCCUCUGCCCCUUUCCGGGUGUUAAAAUGCAUUUGAAAAGGGGACAAGGGCCUGCGGUCUGCUCAUUCCGAUGGGGACAGUGGAAGGGGGUCGAGCGUGGCUUGUGUGAAUCUAGGGGGCACCCGGGUCACCCUGGAAGCCCCUUCUCGAAACCCCAGCUGGACAGGCCUCUGUGGCAGAUUCUAGAGUCCCACUUGCUUCGGUCAACCCAAACCUCCAUUUUUAUCUCACCUGUUUCAGGAAUGGCCUUUGGCAGUGAAAAAUAGGGUUUGGCCCUUGGUGCUAAUUUCAUCCUGGUUGAAAGACAGAAACCUCCUUCACCCGUUCAGAGACGCCCCAGAGGUUGCUGAUGCGAGCACAGACUCAGACGCCCAGCUGGAGGAGACUUUGUUGCGCGACGUCUCUGGAGUCCUUCACAUCAUCCGGCACCGGCUGUGGAAGAUUGUGCGAGACAGGAGGAAACACCAGCAGCUCCUGCAAGAGAGCCAUUGACGGGCAGGACAAAAGCUACCACGCGGGAUGAGGAGGAGGCGGACCCGCUCCGGAUAAAGGCUAGGCUUUAGGGAAUAAAGAGGAAUUGAAGAAAAGGGG